GAUCAUGGCUACGAGGACGAACGCUGGCGGCGUGCUUAACACAUGCAAGUCGAGCGAUGAAGUUCCUUCGGGAAAUGGAUUAGCGGCGGACGGGUGAGUAACACGUGGGUAACCUGCCUCAUAGAGGGGAAUAGCCUUUCGAAAGGAAGAUUAAUACCGCAUAAGAUUGUAAUGUCGCAUGACAUAGCAAUUAAAGGAGUAAUCCGCUAUGAGAUGGACCCGCGUCGCAUUAGCUAGUUGGUGAGGUAACGGCUCACCAAGGCGACGAUGCGUAGCCGACCUGAGAGGGUGAUCGGCCACAUUGGGACUGAGACACGGCCCAGACUCCUACGGGAGGCAGCAGUGGGAAUAUUGCACAAUGGGGGAAACCCUGAUGCAAGCAACGCCGCGUGAGUGAUGAAGGUCUUCGGAUUGUAAAGCUCUGUCUUUAGGGACGAUAAUGACGGUACCUAAGGAGGAAGCCACGGCUAACUACGUGCCAGCCGCAGC
Molecule: ribosomal RNA, 489 nt
Filed under: uncultured bacterium
Lineage: Bacteria
Description: bacterial SSU rRNA
Rfam family: Bacterial small subunit ribosomal RNA
Source: RNAcentral